CCUACGGGUGGCAGCAGUGGGGAAUAUUGGGCAAUGGGCGCAAGCCUGACCCAGCAACGCCGCGUGAAGGAAGAAGGCUUUCGGGUUGUAAACUUCUUUUCUCAGGGACGAAUAGAUGACGGUACCUGAGGAAUAAGCCACGGCAAACUACGUGACAGCAGCCGGGGUAAAAAGUAGGUGGAAAGCGUUAUCCGGAUUUACUGGGUGUAAAGGGCGUGUAGGGGGGGAAGCAAGUCAGAUGUGAAAACCACGGGCUCAACCUGUGGCCUGCAUUUGAAAAUGUGUUUCUUGAGUACUGGAGAGGCAGACGGAAUUCCUAGUGUAGCGGUGAAAUGCGUAGAUAUUAGGAGGAACACCAGUGGCGAAGGCGGUUUGCUGGACAGCAACUGACGCUGAGGCGCGAAAGCGUGGGGAGCAAACAGGAUUAGAUACCCCGGUAGUC
This 442-nucleotide ribosomal RNA is filed under the name uncultured bacterium. Its description in RNAcentral is "partial 16S ribosomal RNA". It matches the Rfam family "Bacterial small subunit ribosomal RNA", at positions 338 to 795 of the family's 1533-position model. The record is from RNAcentral.